This 235-nucleotide ribosomal RNA is filed under the name uncultured Actinomycetales bacterium. Its description in RNAcentral is "partial 16S ribosomal RNA". It matches the Rfam family "Bacterial small subunit ribosomal RNA", at positions 96 to 334 of the family's 1533-position model. The record is from RNAcentral. Lineage: Bacteria; Bacillati; Actinomycetota; Actinomycetes; Actinomycetales.
UGGCGAACGGGUGAGUAACACGUGGGUGAUCUGCCCUGCACUCUGGGAUAAGCCUGGGAAACUGGGUCUAAUACCGGAUAGGACCAUGCUUUAGUGUGUGUGGUGGAAAGUUUUUUCGGUGUAGGAUGAGCCCGCGGCCUAUCAGCUUGUUGGUGGGGUAAUGGCCUACCAAGGCGGCGACGGGUAGCCGGACUGAGAGGUUGGUCGGCCACAUUGGGACUGAGAUGCGGCCCAG